UGCAUGGUUGUCGUCAGCUCGUGCCGUGAGAUGUUGGGUUAAGUCCCGCAACGAGCGCAACCCUACGUUUAGUUGCUAACAGGUGAAGCUGAGCACUCUAGACGAACUGCCCGUUGACAAAACGGAGGAAGGUGGGAUGACGUCAAAUCAUCAUGCCCCUUAUGUUCUGGGCUACACACGUGCUACAAGUGGCCGGUACAGACGGAGGCGAAGCCGCGAGGCGGAGCAAAUCCGAAAAAGCCGGUCUCAGCUCGGAUUGCAGGCUGCAAUUCGCCUGCAUGAAGUCGGAAUCGCUAGUAAUCGCAGGUCAGCAUACUGCGGUGAAUACGUUCCCGGGCCUU
This 341-nucleotide ribosomal RNA is filed under the name uncultured Pelotomaculum sp. RNAcentral's name for it is "bacterial SSU rRNA". It matches the Rfam family "Bacterial small subunit ribosomal RNA", at positions 1042 to 1382 of the family's 1533-position model. The record is from RNAcentral. Lineage: Bacteria; Bacillati; Bacillota; Clostridia; Eubacteriales; Desulfotomaculaceae.